This is an RNA transcript of Lagopus muta (rock ptarmigan), 2357 nucleotides long. It is a transcript of the gene named mitochondrial chaperone BCS1, with no coding region annotated. The record is from RefSeq and is a predicted model, not a curated record. The transcript has 9 exons. Lineage: Eukaryota; Metazoa; Chordata; Aves; Galliformes; Phasianidae.
CGCCGGAAACGGAAGUGCGGGAGGAACCAUAGAGAGCGGCGCGGCGCCGGGGAGGGCGGUGCGGAGGUUGGUUGAUGGAAUGUGGAGAUGCUGUGGAAAGGAGCACAUUAACCUCCCACAAUGCCGUUUUCUGACUUUGUUGUGGCACUGAAGGACAACCCCUACUUUGGGGCUGGGUUUGGCCUUGUCGGGGUGGGCACAGCUAUGGCACUGGCUCGGAAAGGAGCUCAGUUUGGGCUGGUGGCUUUCAGGCGCCACUAUAUGAUCACUUUGGAGGUGCCCAGCAAGGAUAAGAGCUACCAGUGGCUGCUGAACUGGAUCUCGCACCAUGCCAAGCGCACACAGCACCUGAGUGUUGAGACCUCGUACCUGCAGCACGAGAGUGGGCGCGUCAGCACCAAGUUUGACUUUGUCCCCAGCCCUGGAAACCAUUUCAUCUGGUAUCAGAGGAAGUGGAUUCGCAUUGAGCGAAACCGGGAGAGGCAGAUGAUUGACCUGAACACAGGAACUGCCUGGGAGUCUGUCACCUUCACGGCACUGGGCACCAACCGGGAGAUCUUCUUCAACAUCCUCGAGGAAGCCCGGGAGUUGGCUCUGCAACAGCAGGAGGGGAGGACAAUCAUGUACACAGCCAUCGGAACGGAGUGGCGGCAGUUUGGAUUCCCACGCCGCCGCCGGCCUCUGAGCUCCGUGGUGCUGGAGAAAGGUGUGUCAGAGAGGCUGGUUGAGGACGUGAAGGAGUUCAUCGACAACCCGAAGUGGUACAUCGAGAGAGGGAUCCCAUACAGAAGAGGCUACCUGCUAUAUGGUCCUCCUGGCUGUGGAAAAAGCAGCUUCAUUACAGCCCUGGCCGGGGAGCUGCAACACAGUAUCUGCCUGCUGAGCCUCAGUGACCGCAGCCUCUCUGAUGACCGACUCAAUUACCUCCUGAGUGUGGCACCACAGCAGAGCAUCAUCCUUCUGGAGGAUGUGGAUGCUGCCUUCAUCAGUCGGGACCUUGCUGCUGAGAACCCUGCUAUGUACCAAGGCAUGGGGCGCCUGACCUUCAGCGGCCUCCUCAACGCCCUGGAUGGCGUGGCCUCCACAGAGGCCAGGAUUGUCUUCAUGACCACCAACUAUGUGGACAGGCUGGACCCAGCCCUGGUGCGGCCUGGACGUGUGGACCUGAAGCAGUACGUGGGCCACUGCUCCCGAGGGCAGCUGGUCCGCAUGUUCCAGCGCUUCUAUCCUGAGCAGCCCCCAGCUGCAGCUGAGCGGUUUGCUGAGCAGGCGCUGGCAGUCUCCAAACAGAUCAGCGCUGCCCAGGUGCAGGGACACUUCAUGCUCUACAAGACAGAUCCUGGGGGAGCCAUUGAAAACGUACACUCCAUCCUGCCAUGACCUAAGGUGAGCUCUGCCUUGCCAUGCUGUGAGGCCUGGAGAUAACUGGGACAAGGACUUGGACUAUCCUGGGGAUGCUGCGGAGCUGCCCAGCUAUGCGGGCCAGGUCUCUACCUCACCGAGGCCUUGUCUUUUUGUUAAAAUGUAUGGAGUCAGAGCUUCCAGCUCUGCAGCAGAGUGAGGGGAUCGGCUCUUGCUGCUCCCUAGGUUUGGGUGCUACUAUACAGACCCUGCUCACUGCCCUUGUGCUGGGAUUCAGAAGCUGCCAAGGCUUCCAGAUGUGAAAGUGUAAUUUAUCAACCCCUUCCUUAUGGGCUGAUACUCCAAAACAGAAUUUUGCAGAGGCAGGACAUUGGGGUGAUGCACUGCUAAGGAGAGCUGAUGGUCUUUGAAAAGAGAGGAGUCUUCAUUGAUCUGUGAACAACCUUGUAAGGUACACGUCACUGCAGACCCACUGUUCCCUGCAUUGCCUGUCUGAGGACCUCCUGCUUUGGAGCAAGAUGCAGAGCAAUUAAAAAUCAAGAACCACAUAAGCUGGAGUCACUCACUUGAAACCGAUAACAUUUCAGUGGGUACAGGGACAUAUUUAAGGAAAGCUACAAUUAUUCUCUUAGAGCAGACAGAACACAGAGGUUCCUUUCAGGCACUCUGCCUGAUGGCAGAAUUGUCUCUCUCCCCCACCACAUCUGCUUGCUUUGGAGAGCAAGCCAACAACACUACAUAUCCUCACUGCCUCCCCAUGCAACAGCUACAUAUCUUUUGCUUCCCUCUGCCCUUAUCACAUCUGAAGGUGGGCCCCUUUUCUAUGGCAGAAGGGCUCCAAUGGUCCCCUCAGAAUAGAGCACAAGAUGGAAUUUGUACAUUUGUGUGUUUUCCUAGAGUAAAUGGCAGAGCACGUUAAUCAGCUGCAGCUGGCACUGUUCAUGCGUUAAAAUGUCCCAGUUAAAGCCACCCAGAGAGUGGGCACAGCCAGACAG